AUUCACGGUCACACCUAGGCGAAAAUACCAGUUCCCGUCCGAUCACUGCAGUCAAGCGUCUGAGGGCUUCGUUAGUACUAUGGUUGGAGAUAACAUAGGAAUCCGGGGUGCUGUAGGCU
Schizosaccharomyces cryophilus OY26 is the source of this 119-nucleotide ribosomal RNA. NCBI's taxonomy places the organism in Eukaryota, Fungi, Ascomycota, Schizosaccharomycetes, Schizosaccharomycetales, Schizosaccharomycetaceae. The record is from Rfam.